GACAGAGGGUGCAAACGUUGCUCGGAAUUACUGGGCGUAAAGCGCGUGUAGGUGGUCACGCAAGUCAGGUGUGAAAGCCCAGGGCUCAACCCUGGAAGUGCACAUGAUACUACGUGGCUGGAGUACUGAAGAGGAGAGCGGAAUUCCCGGUGAGAGGUGAAAUUCGUAGAUAUCGGGAGGAACACCAGUGGCGAAGGCGGCACUCUGGGCAGAUACUGACACUGAGACGCGAAAGCGUGGGUAGCAA
Molecule: ribosomal RNA, 247 nt
Filed under: uncultured bacterium
Lineage: Bacteria
Description: partial 16S ribosomal RNA
Rfam family: Bacterial small subunit ribosomal RNA
Source: RNAcentral